This 467-nucleotide ribosomal RNA is filed under the name uncultured bacterium. RNAcentral describes it as "partial 16S ribosomal RNA". It matches the Rfam family "Bacterial small subunit ribosomal RNA", at positions 28 to 507 of the family's 1533-position model. The record is from RNAcentral.
GACGAACGCUGGCGGCGUGCUUAACACAUGCAAGUCGAACGGAAAGGCCCUGCUUUUGUGGGGUGCUCGAGUGGCGAACGGGUGAGUAACACGUGAGUAACCUGCCCUUGACUUUGGGAUAACUUCAGGAAACUGGGGCUAAUACCGGAUAGGAGCUCCUGCUGCAUGGUGGGGGUUGGAAAGUUUCGGCGGUUGGGGAUGGACUCGCGGCUUAUCAGCUUGUUGGUGGGGUAGGGGCUUACCAAGGCUUGGACGGGUAGCCGGCCUGGAAGGGAGACCGGCCCCAUUGGCCCAGGGGUGGGGCCCGGACUCCAUCGGGAGGAAGGGGUGGGAGAAUUUCCGAGAAGGGCGGAGGCCGGGAUGAACGACCCCGGGUCGGGAAAGACGGCCUUCGGGGUAGAACCCGUUUGCCCCUAAGAGGGAGCGUUGUGACGGGAAAUGAUUAAAAAACCACGGCUAACCACGGG